Arabidopsis thaliana (thale cress) is the source of this 1058-nucleotide long non-coding RNA. RefSeq annotates it as other RNA. The record is from RefSeq. NCBI's taxonomy places the organism in Eukaryota, Viridiplantae, Streptophyta, Magnoliopsida, Brassicales, Brassicaceae. The transcript is spliced from 2 exons.
UCAGGUGCUGCAAGUAGCAUUAAUAAUCCUCUGGAGAAUCACAGUCCUUGCCCUUCUAAUAUCGGUGCUACACAUAUCAGCCUGGAUCUCCAAUUCCUCUACGUUCUUCUUAAACACCUCAAGCUGCGUCUUAAUCGCAUUGAUCCCAAUCUUGACUGGACCAAGCUCCCCCGCAUAUUCCGCAUUCUUCACCAUCCCCCUGAUCUCAGUAUCCAACCGUUUAAUCAAAUCCUUGAUAUUAUUUAAAUCCUGAACCGCCACAUAUGUCCCUACAUACAUCGAACUGAACACCUCUGUCUGCCCUUUGAUUUCAUUCUCAUAGUUCUUCCACAGCGAGUCGAUCCAUUUCCCCAUAGAUCCCACUGGGGGUGUAGCUGCAGCGAGAGCCGCAGCCACAUGAGGAGCCGCCAUAGUUGCAGCGAGAACAGAGCAGAUGACCAGAGUGGCAAAGGUAGCCAUGAAGAUGAUGCUGGAGAGUUUUCGCCAUGUGCGAAUGCGCUUGAGCUUCUUGUCGAGCUUGUUUUGACGACGCUGAAGCUUAUCGAGCAUCCACUUCUGCUGGUUGUAAACAGAUUGGAACAUCUUGAAGAAGUCUUGGUCGAAAGGUCUGUCUGCGUCUUUGAACCUCUUCAGCUCUUGAAGUGUCUUCUUGUAUCCGUUCCCAUCUGCGAACCAGAAAAAGAUGAGUGUUAAAGUCAAAACCAGAAGAAAACAAAAGAGAAAAUAAGAAAAGUCUUGCCUUGAAUAAGGCUCUCUUCUUCAAAAUGCUGAACAGCACCAAGAAUGAAAAGGUGAUUAAUUUGUACUCCUUGCAGGCCUCUCUUCAAAGCAUUAAAGAAGUCGAGCGUCUUCAAGCUAGUCUCAAAGGAAUCAAACGAGAGCGAUCGAACCUCGACGCCUGUAGCUAGCGUGCUUAUCACGUGACUCGUCCGUGCCUGCAUACGUGUGUCGAAAGACUGAAUCUCCAUGUCUUCUUUACAUGCAGCCUCGUACGAUCUCAGUUCCGUUGUGUAGUUCCUACCCGAUUUCUCCUUUGACUUUCUGCUUGUUUUGUUUCC